RNAcentral lists this ribosomal RNA (195 nucleotides) under Leopardus pardalis (ocelot). RNAcentral's name for it is "partial 16S ribosomal RNA". Lineage: Eukaryota; Metazoa; Chordata; Mammalia; Carnivora; Felidae. The record is from RNAcentral. RNAcentral also lists the same sequence under 1 other name.
GCUUUAAUUAACCGGCCCAAAGAGACCCCACUAACUAACCGACAGGAACAACAAAUCUCUCCAUGGGCCGACAAUUUAGGUUGGGGUGACCUCGGAGAAUAAAAUAACCUCCGAGUGAUUUAAAUCUAGACUAACCAGUCAAAAGUAUUACAUCACUUAUUGAUCCAAAAAACUUGAUCAACGGAACAAGUUACC